This 529-nucleotide ribosomal RNA is filed under the name uncultured Entrophospora. RNAcentral's name for it is "SSU rRNA". It matches the Rfam family "Eukaryotic small subunit ribosomal RNA", at positions 569 to 1092 of the family's 1831-position model. Lineage: Eukaryota; Fungi; Glomeromycota; Glomeromycetes; Entrophosporales; Entrophosporaceae. The record is from RNAcentral.
AGCAGCCGCGGUAAUUCCAGCUCCAAUAGCGUAUAUUAAAGUUGUUGCAGUUAAAAAGCUCGUAGUUGAAUUUCGGGAUUGACGUGAUGGUCAUGCCUUAAGGGGUAUGAACUGUCACAGUUGAUUUCUCACCUUCUGGAGAAACUUGAUGUCCUUUAUUGGGUGUCUUGCGGAUCCAGGACCUUUACCUUGAAAAAAUUAGAGUGUUUAAAGCAGGCAUUUUUGCUCGAAUACAUUAGCAUGGAAUAAUAGAAUAGGACGGCAUGGUUCUAUUUUGUUGGUUUCUAGGAUCACCGUAAUGAUUAAUAGGGAUAGUUGGGGGCAUUAGUAUUCAAUUGUCAGAGGUGAAAUUCUUGGAUUUAUUGAAGACUAACUACUGCGAAAGCAUCUGCCAAGGAUGUUUUCAUUAAUCAAGAACGAAAGUUAGGGGAUCGAAGACGAUCAGAUACCGUCGUAGUCUUAACCAUAAACUAUGCCGACUAGGAAUCAGACGAUGUUAAUUUUUUAAUGACUCGUUUGGCACCUUACG